This 935-nucleotide ribosomal RNA is filed under the name Alteromonas sp. Its description in RNAcentral is "bacterial SSU rRNA". It matches the Rfam family "Bacterial small subunit ribosomal RNA", at positions 93 to 1028 of the family's 1533-position model. Lineage: Bacteria; Pseudomonadati; Pseudomonadota; Gammaproteobacteria; Alteromonadales; Alteromonadaceae. The record is from RNAcentral.
GAGUGGCGGACGGGUGAGUAAUGCUUGGGAACUUGCCUUUGCGAGGGGGAUAACAGUUGGAAACGACUGCUAAUACCGCAUAAUGUCUUCGGACCAAACGGGGCUUCGGCUCCGGCGCAAAGAGAGGCCCAAGUGAGAUUAGCUAGUUGGUAAGGUAACGGCUUACCAAGGCGACGAUCUCUAGCUGUUCUGAGAGGAAGAUCAGCCACACUGGGACUGAGACACGGCCCAGACUCCUACGGGAGGCAGCAGUGGGGAAUAUUGCACAAUGGGGGAAACCCUGAUGCAGCCAUGCCGCGUGUGUGAAGAAGGCCUUCGGGUUGUAAAGCACUUUCAGUUGUGAGGAAAAGUUAGUAGUUAAUACCUGCUAGCCGUGACGUUAACAACAGAAGAAGCACCGGCUAACUCCGUGCCAGCAGCCGCGGUAAUACGGAGGGUGCGAGCGUUAAUCGGAAUUACUGGGCGUAAAGCGCACGCAGGCGGUUUGUUAAGCUAGAUGUGAAAGCCCCGGGCUCAACCUGGGAUGGUCAUUUAGAACUGGCAGACUAGAGUCUUGGAGAGGGGAGUGGAAUUCCAGGUGUAGCGGUGAAAUGCGUAGAUAUCUGGAGGAACAUCAGUGGCGAAGGCGACUCCCUGGCCAAAGACUGACGCUCAUGUGCGAAAGUGUGGGUAGCGAACAGGAUUAGAUACCCUGGUAGUCCACACCGUAAACGCUGUCUACUAGCUGUGUGUGCCUUUAAGGCGUGCGUAGCGAAGCUAACGCGCUAAGUAGACCGCCUGGGGAGUACGGCCGCAAGGUUAAAACUCAAAUGAAUUGACGGGGGCCCGCACAAGCGGUGGAGCAUGUGGUUUAAUUCGAUGCAACGCGAAGAACCUUACCUACACUUGACAUGCUGAGAAGUUACUAGAGAUAGUUUCGUGCCCUUCGGGGAACU